GCUGGCGGCAGGCUUAACACAUGCAAGUCGAACGGUAACAGAGAAUAGCUUGCUAGUUUUGCUGACGAGUGGCGGACGGGUGAGUAAUGCUUGGGUAUAUGCCAAUAGGUGGGGGACAACAGUUGGAAACGACUGCUAAUACCGCAUAAUCUCUUCGGAGCAAAGCAGGGGACCUUCGGGCCUUGCGCCUAUUGAUUAGCCCAAGUGGGAUUAGCUAGUUGGUAAGGUAAUGGCUUACCAAGGCGGACGAUCCCUAGCUGGUCUUAGAGGAUGACCAGCCACACUGGAACUGAGACACGGUCCAGACUCCUACGGGAGGCAGCAGUGGGGAAUAUUGCACAAUGGAGGAAACUCUGAUGCAGCCAUGCCGCGUGUGUGAAGAAGGCUUUCGGGUUGUAAAGCACUUUCAGCGAGGAGGAAAGGGCGAUGGUUAAUAACUAUCGUCUGUGACGUUACUCGCAGAAGAAGCACCGGCUAACUCCGUG
Molecule: ribosomal RNA, 485 nt
Filed under: uncultured bacterium
Lineage: Bacteria
Description: bacterial SSU rRNA
Rfam family: Bacterial small subunit ribosomal RNA
Source: RNAcentral